Non-coding RNA from Eubalaena glacialis (North Atlantic right whale), 72 nucleotides. Lineage: Eukaryota; Metazoa; Chordata; Mammalia; Artiodactyla; Balaenidae. The record is from the annotation of a RefSeq genome assembly.
UCCCUGGUGGUCCAGUAGUUAGGACUUGGCGCUUUUACCGCCAUGACCCGGGUUCAAUCCCUGGUCGAGGAA